AUAUAUAACGAUUUUUAUUUUUUUCCAUUAUAGCUGGUUUACAGUGUUCUGUCAGUUUUCUUCUGUAUAGCAAGGUGAUCCAAUGUCUGUUUUUUAAAUGGCCUAUGAAAUAAGAAUGGUACUUUACAACAUAGGUAAUGGUUGGGAAAAAAAAAAAGGAAUGAAAAUAGUUCAUGGCAUGUGAAAAUUGUAUGAAUUUCAAAAUUCAGUAUCAAUAAAAAAGCUUUAUUGGACCACAAACAUACUUAUUCAUCUACAUAUUGCCUAGGGCUGCUUUUGUGUUACAAUGACAGAUGUGAUUAAUUGUGACAGAGACCCUACUGUCUAUGUUUUCUAAUUCUAGAGAAUUAGAACUAUGAUAGUUCUAAUCUGCAAUGACGAAAAUCUGCUUGUGUUAAAAAAGCAUCAAAUCACCAACUAACUUAAUCAGGAAAGAGAAAACUGCAAUUAAAAAUAAAGAAACAAAGCAGUACAUGGAGAAUUAACCAUAUAGAAACUGAGAAAAUUAAAGAAUCUUAAGAAGACUAACCUGAAAAUCCUGGAUGAAAUAGAUUUUUUUAAAGGAGCGUAUGAUUUACACUAAAUGACAUCAAGAAGUAAGAAUCUAAACACAACUAUUUCCAUAGAAGCAACAGAUACAUUGAUCAAAGGUUAUCCUCAGCAAAGCUUCAGGUUUAGACAUUGCCAAAAGGAAUUUAAAAGCAUAUUAAAAGAAUACUUAUUUUAGCAGAGGAAUUUAUUCUAGAAGUACAAAGAUGGUUCAUUAUUAGGAAACAAGUUAAUACAUAGUUUAUAAUGUUAGAGAAAAAUUAUAAUCAUUUUCAUAUAUGAUGAAAGGUCACUUGCCAAAAUAGCCAUUCUUCACAAACACAUUCUGUUAAAUAAGGAUAGAUGGAAAACUUAUAAAUACAGUAAACAUAUAUUUAUCACAAUCCAGAAGUUAGCAUCAUGCUCAUUGGAGGUAGGCUAGAGACAUUCCUAUUAAAAUCAAGAUCAAGACAAGAAAGGAGGCCAUUACCUCUGUUACUAUCCCACAAAGUACUGAUUACUAGUAAACAUAGACAAGACAGAAGAAAAUGAAUAUUUUAAACUGUAACUAUGUGGAAAUGAUAUGAUGGUACAUUUGAAAAUCCAAGAUAAUAAACUAAAACACAACAAAGAGUGAGAGAAUUCAAGGAAGUAAUAGGAUAUAAACAUUUAUAAGUAGAAAGCGAUAAAUUUAUUAUGUACAAAAAGCAGUCAGAACACAUAAUGGGAAAAACGUUUAAAAUAGCAAAAACAAGCAACACAGUAUCUCUAGAAAUAAACUUUUAAAAAUGUACAAACCCACAAGAAGAAAAAUGAAAACACAUGUGAAAGCAAAGAUGGACUUUUCAGUAAGUGCUGAAACAGUUGAAUCUAUAUUUCAUACCAAACAUUAGGAACAAUUCCAAAUGGGAUUUUUUUUAACAUUAAAGAAGUGAAGUCUUAAAAACAAUAGGGAAAUGUAGGAAAAUUCUUUUAUAAAUCUGAAGUGGGGACAGACUUUUAACCAACAACUCAAAAUCCAAAUUGUAAAAGACACAUAGGAAAACAAAAGAAAAUUCUGCAACCAAAAGCAACAAAAUGAACACUAUGAAUAAAGAGAUAAAUAUAAAUUGAGGGAAAAGAACUGCAAUUCAUAUCAUAGGCACAGAGAUUUUUUUCUUCUUCUGAUCAGGAGACAGCAAAAAUCCUCCUAAGCAACAAUUCCCCCUACCCCCAUACCACUGGUAAUGGCACACUUUGCUCUGAGUUUUGGCCACACCUUGUUCUGAUGUUUUAAGGAGAUGACAGGCUCCUUUUUAAGCUAUUUCAUUUCCCCUCACUCAGGCUCAAAGCAGCUACAUACUGGUAGUAGUCUCUGCUUUUAAGCAAAGUUGGAAUCAAUCCCUUUGGAUAGAAAGUCGAGUCAAAUAUUAUUUUAAGGCAGUAGUGGGUGAAUAUCCCAGACUCUGGGAGAGCCUGCAGAGAAUGAGUUUAGAUUCCACCUUUAGAAACUUUCCUACAUUGCUAUAAGAUUAAGAUCCACUUAUCAGGGAAAGAGAAAUCAUAAUAUUAUCUACCUCUUGAGUGCUUAUAAGAGUUAAAACACAUCUAUCAGGUCUAGAAGAGUGUGAGACACUCAGAAAACACUCCAUAAGUUAUUAUUCUUUUUUGUUAUGCAACUCUUCUGUGUAUGCCCUGCUGCUUUUUUUUUUUAAUAGUUAUUUCCCCAACACAAUUUUUUUCCCUACUGUACAGCAUGGUGACCCACUUACACAUACUUGUACACAUACUAUUUUCGCACAUUAUCAUGCUCCAUCAUAAGUGACUAGACAUAGUUCCCUGCUGCUUUUAAUCUUAAGGUGACAGAUUGUCUCUGAGUUUUGAAUUAGUAUAGUGUAGUGACUAAACAUGAGCCUUAGAAUCAGCUAACUAGAUAUCACACCCCAGCACCACAAAUCACUUACAUCUUCUCUGUCUCAAUUUCCUCACCCCAAUCAGCUUAAUGCCAAGCUCACUGGGACGUUGUCAGAAUAAUGAGAUGCUUCUCACAUGGUGCCAGGCAAAUAAAUAGUAGGUGCUGAUUAAAUAAGCGCUAUUAAGUGUUUCUUCUAAUACGUCAUCAUGACCUACCUCAGAAACAUCCAGUACACAGUAAAUAAGGAGAGAAAAAAUUGCAACCCAAAGACAAAUUCGCAGAAUUAGUGCAUAAUAUUUACAUUAAAGGAAGGUUGAAGUUAAUUUUUUGGAAAACUUCCAUCUCAUCCAUCACCAUAUUCCUUUUCAUGGGUUAAAGAUCAGAAAUGGUAUCAUUUUCUAACUUCAGAGGUUCAUUACACCUUCUCCAAACUCUGUGAAACAGCAAUUGUGUUUUAGGUUUUAGAUCUGACUCUUAAAGGAAUACUCUCUUUUUUCUAAAUAGUACAAGGUCACAUUUACAAAAGCUUUACAAUUCACAGGAGAGAAUUUUUUUUGGGGGGGGGGUGCUGCCGCUGUCCCAGAUUUUACUGAUGAAAGCUUUGCUUUGUUUCCUUGCCCCAAUACCAUUGCAUGUUCAUUGGGUAAAUUUUAUUUUACUGUAAUAAUAAUAAUUCAGAUUAAGUUCAAAAGCGUAACCAUCUUGCUGGCUGCUACUCUUGCUCUUUCCAAACCUUUUGGUAAAAGGUUUUUAUACAAUUUGCCAAAAGGCAGAUAUUCUUAAGCUGACUCCCUGCUGUUUGCAUUCAGUACCUCAGAUAAAUGUACAGUCCACGAUGACAACUUCUUUGAAUGUUAUUAAGUGUAAUUCUGCUACCCUAGCCACAUCUCUAGAGUCCUGGCUAUCUAAUUAUGGACUUCUGGGAUAUGAGGUGCUACUUUUUUUCAGUUUCAAUCUGUUCCAAGUCCAUAGGGAGACCACAGUGAUGAAAUGUUAUCUCUAAUGAACAUAAAAUUAAAUAAUCUACUGUACAAAUGCAAGCCUCAUAUUAUUAAAUGUAUCAUAGUGGAUAGACCAUCUGUCAUGAUAUAAAUUGCUUUGAUCAAAAAAAAUAUAUGUCUGGUAAUUUAUAACAAGUGUCAUACCAUGGUAAAAAAUUUGUAUCCCAAUGAUAGAGAUGUAUAGUCAUUAAGAAUGUGUAUAUAUACAUUCAUCACUAGAAAUAUAUGUAUAUCUGGGUUUCGAUUUCACCAGUUCUAAAAUAUGGAUAAUGAUAUCUCAUAGUGUAGGUAUUACAUGCUGUCUUCAUAAGUAUAGGUAUAAAAGUUAAGAAAGUCAGUUAAAAGUUUCAUUUCAUGUGUCUCAGUCAGAAUGUAGGAAAAUUUUAAAAAGAGUUUUUAGAGCUUGGGUAUAUACCCUUUUAAAGGCGUAUAUCACAGCACCUUUAAAAUUCUACUUUUUGUCUUAGGGCAAAAAAUUAUGAUCAGAACGGCUUACAGAACUAACUGGAUAAAUUAAGCAUUGUUAACUGUAGUGACACCAGGCACCUUGGAGUGCAAGGCAGCUUAGUGUUAUCUUUCAACCAAAUGCUCCUUAUAUAAGUAAGUUAAAACUUGGGUUUCUUGAUUGUAAUCCUUGUCCUCAUUGAUUCUUUUUUCAGGAACUCUUUUUGAGGGAUUUCAUGUCAGAUAAAAAGGGCAUCAUGGGGACAUGAAAAGCCAUGUAUUCUUGGGUAUAUAGGUUUUCCCCUUAUUUAAAUCAUAUGACAUGGUAACAUUGAGUAGAACUGGUUGUAGUACCACACAUAAGCACUCAAAAUGGAUUAUUUUUAUUCUGUAGUAUGUUCAACUUGGAUUCUAUUAAAGCUACCAUUUUUCUACAGCUGCCAAUUCUAUAGCAGAUGUUGCACAUUCCUUGAUAGCAAAGACUGUGACUUAAUUCAUCUUUGCUUUUAUUUUAGUGCUUGUGUAACAAUUUCAAUAUGCAAGAUUUCUAAUAAAUGCUUAAUGAAUAUAUUAAUGGCUUCUUUAGAAAGCCCUUUCUGAUAACUCAUAUAAUGAAAGGAAUAUACUAGUUGGUGUUAUAACUUGCAUGCAGAUUUGUGUUGUUUAAUAAAGCAUGUGAUUCAUAAAAUAAUUGGAGAUUGCUAUUUUUCCAUGUGGCUUUGAUGUGGAUAAUCCCCACAGGGAAUAGAUGGAAAGGAGAUAAAUUAAUUCAUGUUUCUUUCUAGGUCAAUUUUUUUCUGAAGGAAUUCACUGGUCAUUGCUUAAGUAUCAAAUACAAAUGUUAUAGGACCCCUUGCUCCCAGUAGUUUUCCUAUUUGAUCUUAAUUUCUCAAGUGAUAAAUAUUCAUUAGCGUUGUACCCUAAAAUUCUAUCUUUAUUUACUAGCACCACUGUAGUUUUAUGGAAGACAAAAUUCACACUCCAUUUUUUUCAAAACUGUUAAGAAAAACUUUAAAGCUAUUCAUCACUUUUCUUUGAAAUCAACUAAAAAGAAAUACCAAAGAGAUGGCACCAUUUUGAAUAAGAAUUGCACUCAAGAAAGAGCAGUUCUAUCUGUCCGUCCAUCUGUCUGUCUGUCUGUCUGUCUGUCUGUCUGUCUAUCUAUCUAUCUACCUACCUAUCUAUCAUCUAUUCCAUUGAGAUAGGUGUGUUUAGUUGACGAGAGCUUGAGAUCCUUACGGUUAAGCCCAAGGACUAAUACAUAAGGGAUUGGUUCCAUGACUGUGAGCCCCAAUACUAAUCAUGGGGAUCAGGCGGGUACAGACUUGUUCUGGUCAACAAAGUGCUGGAUGAUGAGUCAGUGCACAUCAUCAGUACCAGGAAAACAACUCAGAAUGUGAACUUUACUUUUGGUGGAUCUACAAUUUAUAUUUUAUUACAUAUUUCUCUACCUGCCACUAUUCUGGGCAUUAUAGAGGUAUGAAGAAUAUAUCAAAUUGACCUAUGUACACAGGUAACACCCUCACUCUCCUGUGAGCUCCGUGUCCUAAUGUCUGUUUUUCCUUAUCCAGAGCUUAUUUCUACAUGAGGGGCUUCACUCCUGCUUCUCAUUCAGGUUCAAAUAUUCUCUUCCUUCCACACUCUCCAUUCCCUUUCUUCUCAUCACCACGCCAAUUUCUAAUCAACGAUCACCUCUUGCUUUGAAUGUCAUUUCCUCACAUUUUUUUCCUGAUAUCAACCCUCCCACCCUGCCGAUUUUAUAGACUCAAAACUUGAUACAUUUCCUUAAUAAAUCUUAUCAUUAUUAUGGUGGAAGAAACUGACAGAUUGGUUAUAAACUGUGUCUUCUCCAUAGAAUGUUAGCUCCAUGAGGGCAAAGAAAAUGUUUUCUUAUUCUUCCACGUAUUUCCAGCAUAUAAUAG
Molecule: long non-coding RNA, 5789 nt
Filed under: Sus scrofa (pig)
Lineage: Eukaryota; Metazoa; Chordata; Mammalia; Artiodactyla; Suidae
Description: lncRNA (ENSSSCG00000057818.1)
Source: RNAcentral